RNAcentral lists this transfer RNA (82 nucleotides) under Cryptomonas curvata. Its description in RNAcentral is "tRNA-Tyr". It matches the Rfam family "tRNA". From Rfam's summary of the family: Transfer RNA (tRNA) molecules are approximately 80 nucleotides in length. Their secondary structure includes four short double-helical elements and three loops (D, anti-codon, and T loops). Further hydrogen bonds mediate the characteristic L-shaped molecular structure. tRNAs have two regions of fundamental functional importance: the anti-codon, which is responsible for specific mRNA codon recognition, and the 3' end, to which the tRNAs corresponding amino acid is attached (by aminoacyl-tRNA synthetases). tRNAs cope with the degeneracy of the genetic code in two manners: having more than one tRNA (with a specific anti-codon) for a particular amino acid; and 'wobble' base-pairing, i.e. permitting non-standard base-pairing at the 3rd anti-codon position. Lineage: Eukaryota; Cryptophyceae; Cryptomonadales; Cryptomonadaceae. The record is from RNAcentral.
GAAAAGAUAGCUAAGUGGUCAAAAGCAGUAGACUGUAAAUCUAUUGAAUUAUUCUUCGUAGGUUCAAAUCCUACUCUUUUCA